UACGUAGGGGGCAAGCGUUAUCCGGAUUUAUUGGGCAUAAAGGGCGCGUAGGCGGUAUUUUAAGUCAGCUGUAAAAUCCCUUGGCUCAACCAAGGUCUGCCGUUGAUACUGAAAUGCUAGAGAUCGGAAGAGGAAAGUAGAACUCACGGUGUAGCGGUGAAAUGCGUAGAUAUCGUGAGGAACACCAGUUGCGAAGGCGGCUUUCUGGUCCGAAUCUGACGCUGAGGCGCGAAAGCGUGGGGAGCAAACGGG
Molecule: ribosomal RNA, 252 nt
Filed under: uncultured bacterium
Lineage: Bacteria
Description: partial 16S ribosomal RNA
Rfam family: Bacterial small subunit ribosomal RNA
Source: RNAcentral